Molecule: ribosomal RNA, 433 nt
Filed under: uncultured bacterium
Lineage: Bacteria
Description: partial 16S ribosomal RNA
Rfam family: Bacterial small subunit ribosomal RNA
Source: RNAcentral
AACGAACGCUGGCGGCAUGCCUAACACAUGCAAGUCGAACGAGACCUUCGGGUCUAGUGGCGCACGGGUGCGUAACGCGUGGGAAUCUGCCCUUCGGUUGGGAAUAACUGAGAGAAAUUUCAGCUAAUACCUUAUAAUGUCUUCGGACCAAAGAUUUAUCGCCGAGGGAUGAGCCCGCGUAGGAUUAGGUAGUUGGUGGGGUAAUGGCCUACCAAGCCGACGAUCCUUAGCUGGUCUGAGAGGAUGAUCAGCCACACUGGGACUGAGACACGGCCCAGACUCCCACGGAAGGCAGCAGUGGGGAAUAGUGGACAAGGGGCGAAAGCAUGAACCAGCAAUGACGGGUGAGUGAUGAAGGCCUUAGGGUUGUAAAGCUCUUUUACCCGGGAUGAUAAUGACAGUACCGGGAGAGUAAGCUCCGGCUAACUCCGUG